Molecule: signal recognition particle RNA, 297 nt
Filed under: Aotus nancymaae (Ma's night monkey)
Lineage: Eukaryota; Metazoa; Chordata; Mammalia; Primates; Aotidae
Description: Metazoan signal recognition particle RNA (ENSANAG00000009854.1)
Rfam family: Metazoan signal recognition particle RNA
About the family: The signal recognition particle (SRP) is a universally conserved ribonucleoprotein. It is involved in the co-translational targeting of proteins to membranes.
Source: RNAcentral
GCUGAGUGCGGUGGCACGUGCCUGUAGUCCCAGCUGCUUGGGAGGCUGAGGUGGAAGGAUCGCUUGAGUCUAGGAGUUCUGGGCUGUAGUGUGCUGUGCCAAUCGGUGUCGCACGAAGUUCAGCAUCAAUAGGGUGACCUCCUGGGAGCGGUGGACCACCAGGUUGCCUAAGGAGGGGUGAACUGGCCCAGGUAGGAAAUGGAGCAGGUGAAAACUCUGGUGCUGAUCAGUAGUGGGAUCGCGCCUGUGAAUGGCCACUGCACUUCAGCCUGGGCAACACAGAAAGACCCUGUCUCU